GCGAGGGUAGCCAAGCCUGGUCAAAGGCGACAGACUCAAGAUCUGUUCCUGCAGAGGUUCGCCGGUUCAAAUCCGGCCCUUCGCACCA
RNAcentral lists this transfer RNA (88 nucleotides) under Methanomassiliicoccales archaeon PtaU1.Bin124. RNAcentral's name for it is "tRNA-Leu". It matches the Rfam family "tRNA". From Rfam's summary of the family: Transfer RNA (tRNA) molecules are approximately 80 nucleotides in length. Their secondary structure includes four short double-helical elements and three loops (D, anti-codon, and T loops). Further hydrogen bonds mediate the characteristic L-shaped molecular structure. tRNAs have two regions of fundamental functional importance: the anti-codon, which is responsible for specific mRNA codon recognition, and the 3' end, to which the tRNAs corresponding amino acid is attached (by aminoacyl-tRNA synthetases). tRNAs cope with the degeneracy of the genetic code in two manners: having more than one tRNA (with a specific anti-codon) for a particular amino acid; and 'wobble' base-pairing, i.e. permitting non-standard base-pairing at the 3rd anti-codon position. The record is from RNAcentral. Lineage: Archaea; Methanobacteriati; Thermoplasmatota; Thermoplasmata; Methanomassiliicoccales.